This 90-nucleotide small nucleolar RNA is filed under the name Sus scrofa (pig). Its description in RNAcentral is "Small nucleolar RNA SNORA32 (ENSSSCG00070012856.1)". The record is from RNAcentral. Lineage: Eukaryota; Metazoa; Chordata; Mammalia; Artiodactyla; Suidae.
AGAUGCAGAACACAUGAACAUGACAAAAAAAAAUCCCCACUAAGUUUUCUUUCUGCUACUUCAUUAGCAUGCAGACUAUUGGGAACAUUU